This 253-nucleotide ribosomal RNA is filed under the name uncultured bacterium. RNAcentral's name for it is "partial 16S ribosomal RNA". It matches the Rfam family "Bacterial small subunit ribosomal RNA", at positions 524 to 776 of the family's 1533-position model. The record is from RNAcentral.
UACGUAGGGUGCAAGCGUUGUCCGGAAUUAUUGGGCGUAAAGAGCUCGUAGGUGGCCUGUCGCGUCGGCUGUGAAAACUCGGGGCUCAACUCCGAGCUUGCAGUCGAUACGGGCAGGCUAGAGUUCGGCAGGGGAGACUGGAAUUCCUGGUGUAGCGGUGAAAUGCGCAGAUAUCAGGAGGAACACCGGUGGCGAAGGCGGGUCUCUGGACAGUUCCUGACGCUCAUGCACGAAGGCCAGGGGAGCAAACGGG